Scophthalmus maximus (turbot) is the source of this 1083-nucleotide long non-coding RNA. RefSeq lists it as uncharacterized. NCBI's taxonomy places the organism in Eukaryota, Metazoa, Chordata, Actinopteri, Pleuronectiformes, Scophthalmidae. The transcript has 3 exons. The record is from RefSeq and is a predicted model, not a curated record.
UCUUGUGACACUUGAAAUGUACCUUUGGGUUAUUUUGGCAACCUCUCAUCUAUAUCAUAUAUAAGAUGUGCAAACAUCUUUCAAUAAAAAUGUCAAAGAAAGUGUUACACUUCCAGUUUUUAUCUUCUUGUGUGAUAGAUACAUCACUCACAGAUGCAUAUCAGAUGAAAGCCUGCACUGGUGAUUAGACUGAUGUGUAACAGAAGUCAACAUAAUCAGUCUUGUGUGUUGCUGAAGUGUCUUUGAGUUUUGGGGGAUACGGAUCUUUGUCAUUUAUAUCUCUUAUCCGUCUCUAUGAGCAGAUAUUCCUUUAAAAAACGACCUUAAAAAGAACGCACUUGGCUCCGUUGGCUCGACUGCAGUCGUAUAAUCACAACACGCUGCCUUCGGGUCUGGCCUGUGAUCCGCGUUGCGUGUCAUCUGCGUCUCUUCAAGUGAUCAAACGAACCGUUUCCUUUAUUCGAUAUAAAAGCGUGUUUGUUAGGGGGAAGAUACGGAGAUCAAAAGAUGCCAAGAUUUCGGACCUGCAGUCAGACAUGGGCGUACCUGUUGUCUGGUCGUACUCCUCGGCCACAGCUGACCGAGGAAAUGAGGCCGAAGGCCGAACAUCUAGACGGCAUUUUAAGAGCACGCAACUCCAGAAGAGAAUUCAAGAAUUGAACAUGUUUGUCGUGGGAACCUCCGCCCCCUCCCUCAAGGUGGAGACCCCUGUACACCAGGUUCUUGCAUCAUUGUUUCUCAAAUCCAUAAAAAACAUUAUUUGACUUUUCUUGUAACCAUCACAUUCCUCGUCGCCUCACCACUGAACCCAUCGAGCCGCAUGGUUAUCAAUAUAUCUACCGUCUACCGUCUCAUCUGGAUUUGCUUGUCAGAAGACCCCACAGGGCACGAAUGAGCCCCGUGCUCUACAGUUACUCACCUCACAUACAUAGUUUCCUCACUUAUACUUCGAUAACAUCACAGGUGUGAGUUGCAUCUACUUCCUGUUCCUCUCUGAUUUCUCGCUCGGGGAAAGGAGUUGGUCAUAUUGCAAAUUGCCGGCCUUUACUGGCAAUGAGAAUUACAUGCAUUAAAGUAAUUGAC